RNAcentral lists this ribosomal RNA (564 nucleotides) under Oreobates berdemenos. RNAcentral describes it as "partial 16S ribosomal RNA". It matches the Rfam family "Bacterial large subunit ribosomal RNA", at positions 1817 to 2597 of the family's 2925-position model. The record is from RNAcentral. Lineage: Eukaryota; Metazoa; Chordata; Amphibia; Anura; Strabomantidae.
CGCCUCUUGGCCCCCCAUAAGAGGUCCUGCCUGCCCAGUGACACUUGUUUAACGGCCGCGGUACUCUAACCGUGCGAAGGUAGCGUAAUCACUUGUCUUUUAAAAGGAGACUUGUAUGAAAGGCAUAACGAGGGCCCAACUGUCUCCUUUUUCUAAUCAGUGAAACUAAUCUCCCCGUGAAGAAGCGGGGAUUCAUCUAUAAGACGAGAAGACCCUAUGGAGCUUUAAACUUUGUAGCACCUGCCUAUUUAUUCACUUUCCCGUAAAUUACCUUAACUCGCAUCUUGCUAAUAAGCUUUUGGUUGGGGCGACCACGGAGAACAAUAAAUCCUCCGCAAUGAACAGACACUGUCCUAAGUAAAAAGCUACUGCUUUAUACAUCAGUAACACUGACAUCCAUUGACCCAAGAUUUUGAUCAACGAACCAAGUUACCCUAGGGAUAACAGCGCUAUCCACUUCGAAAGUUCCUAUCGACAAGUGGGCUUACGACCUCGAUGUUGGAUCAGGGUAUCCCAGUGGUGCAGCCGCUACUUAAGGUUCGUUUGUUCAACGAUUAAAACCCU